AGCGAACGCUGGCGGCAGGCUUAACACAUGCAAGUCGAGCGGGCACUUUCGGGUGUCAGCGGCGGACGGGUGAGUAACGCGUGGGAACGUGCCCUCUGGUUCGGAAUAACUCAGGGAAACUUGAGCUAAUACCGGAUACGCCCUUUUGGGGAAAGGCUUGCUGCCGGAGGAUCGGCCCGCGUCUGAUUAGCUAGUUGGUGAGGUAACGGCUCACCAAGGCGACGAUCAGUAGCUGGUCUGAGAGGAUGAUCAGCCACACUGGGACUGAGACACGGCCCAGACUCCUACAGGAGGCAGCAGUGGGGAAUAUUGGACAAUGGGCGCAAGCCUGAUCCAGCCAUGCCGCGUGAGUGAUGAAGGCCUUAGGGUUGUAAAGCUCUUUUAUCCGGGACGAUAAUGACGGUACCGGAGGAAUAAGCCCCGGCUAACUUCGUG
This 435-nucleotide ribosomal RNA is filed under the name uncultured bacterium. RNAcentral describes it as "partial 16S ribosomal RNA". It matches the Rfam family "Bacterial small subunit ribosomal RNA", at positions 29 to 507 of the family's 1533-position model. The record is from RNAcentral.